UAUCCUGUCUGAAUAUGGGGGGACCAUCCUCCAAGGCUAAAUACUCCUGACUGACCGAUAGUGAACCAGUACCGUGAGGGAAAGGCGAAAAGAACCCCGGCGAGGGGAGUGAAAAAGAACCUGAAACCGUGUACGUACAAGCAGUGGGAGCACGCUUAGGCGUGUGACUGCGUACCUUUUGUAUAAUGGGUCAGCGACUUAUAUUCUGUAGCAAGGUUAACCGAAUAGGGGAGCCGAAGGGAAACCGAGUCUUAACUGGGCGUUAAGUUGCAGGGUAUAGACCCGAAACCCGGUGAUCUAGCCAUGGGCAGGUUGAAGGUUGGGUAACACUAACUGGAGGACCGAACCGACUAAUGUUGAAAAAUUAGCGGAUGACUUGUGGCUGGGGGUGAAAGGCCAAUCAAACCGGGAGAUAGCUGGUUCUCCCCGAAAGCUAUUUAGGUAGCGCCUCGUGAAUUCAUCUCCGGGGGUAGAGCACUGUUUCGGCAAGGGGGUCAUCCCGACUUACCAACCCGAUGCAAACUGCGAAUACCGGAGAAUGUUAUCACGGGAGACACACGGCGGGUGCUAACGUCCGUCGUGAAGAGGGAAACAACCCAGACCGCCAGCUAAGGUCCCAAAGUCAUGGUUAAGUGGGAAACGAUGUGGGAAGGCCCAGACAGCCAGGAUGUUGGCUUAGAAGCAGCCAUCAUUUAAAGAAAGCGUAAUAGCUCACUGGUCGAGUCGGCCUGCGCGGAAGAUGUAACGGGGCUAAACCAUGCACCGAAGCUGCGGCAGCGACGCUUAUGCGUUGUUGGGUAGGGGAGCGUUCUGUAAGCCUGUGAAGGUGUACUGUGAGGUAUGCUGGAGGUAUCAGAAGUGCGAAUGCUGACAUAAGUAACGAUAAAGCGGGUGAAAAGCCCGCUCGCCGGAAGACCAAGGGUUCCUGUCCAACGUUAAUCGGGGCAGGGUGAGUCGACCCCUAAGGCGAGGCCGAAAGGCGUAGUCGAUGGGAAACAGGUUAAUAUUCCUGUACUUGGUGUUACUGCGAAGGGGGGACGGAGAAGGCUAUGUUGGCCGGGCGACGGUUGUCCCGGUUUAAGCGUGUAGGCUGGUUUUCCAGGCAAAUCCGGAAAAUCAAGGCUGAGGCGUGAUGACGAGGCACUACGGUGCUGAAGCAACAAAUGCCCUGCUUCCAGGAAAAGCCUCUAAGCAUCAGGUAACAUCAAAUCGUACCCCAAACCGACACAGGUGGUCAGGUAGAGAAUACCAAGGCGCUUGAGAGAACUCGGGUGAAGGAACUAGGCAAAAUGGUGCCGUAACUUCGGGAGAAGGCACGCUGAUAUGUAGGUGAAGUCCCUCGCGGAUGGAGCUGAAAUCAGUCGAAGAUACCAGCUGGCUGCAACUGUUUAUUAAAAACACAGCACUGUGCAAACACGAAAGUGGACGUAUACGGUGUGACGCCUGCCCGGUGCCGGAAGGUUAAUUGAUGGGG
Molecule: ribosomal RNA, 1474 nt
Filed under: Escherichia coli
Lineage: Bacteria; Pseudomonadati; Pseudomonadota; Gammaproteobacteria; Enterobacterales; Enterobacteriaceae
Description: bacterial LSU rRNA
Rfam family: Bacterial large subunit ribosomal RNA
Source: RNAcentral